Molecule: long non-coding RNA, 268 nt
Filed under: Mytilus galloprovincialis (Mediterranean mussel)
Lineage: Eukaryota; Metazoa; Mollusca; Bivalvia; Mytilida; Mytilidae
Source: RNAcentral
AUAAAACAUAUUUUUCUACAGGACGUCGUAAACAAAGAUUUUGAAUCAAGAUAUGAAAGGUUUUUGAGGUUUGAGUAAACAAAGAUUUUGAUUUAAGAUAAAAAAAAAAUUGAGGUAAGACUAUAAAUAUAUAUAAAAGCCCUAUAUUUGGUCAAAUGUGUCAAGUCAUAUUUCAAUGAUGAUGUUUUGUGGUUGUUCCCGGAAAUAGUCGGACUACAAAGACAAGGAAAUAAUUCUUUAUUAGCCUAUACACUGUUACUUUAAUAAU